This 2105-nucleotide transfer RNA is filed under the name Felis catus (domestic cat). RNAcentral describes it as "lncRNA (ENSFCAG00000047367.1)". Lineage: Eukaryota; Metazoa; Chordata; Mammalia; Carnivora; Felidae. The record is from RNAcentral.
CAGAAAGCUUGUGCAGCGGACGCGGUCGGGGCAGGGCCGUGUCCUCUCGUGUGUUGUCCUCAAAACCAGAGCCACCGCGGCGCCCGAACAGAGGCGCUGUCGCGUCUCCAAAGCCGGUGCUGAACGUGGCCAACACACACCCUUGUCGCGUGUGGCGGGUCGCGUGCUGUGAAUGAAUUCCCUCUUGUCCCAAGUCCACACCGGAGCCGAUCGUCUCCAGGGUGCCCACGGGGCGCGUCCUUGUGUCCCCGCGCUACCUUUUGUCUGUCUGGUGGCUUCGUGGGCGGAGAAGGACGUUUUCUGAGAAGGGGGAUCUGAAGGUUCACCAGGCCGCCUUGGGAGGAAGGUCACCUGGGGCGACGGGGUUAUUCACCGCCUUCCUCCUCAAGGUCGUCUCCCUCUGGGCGCGCGCUCCGGCCACUUCCCAGCGACGACGGAGCCUCGCCGGGAGAUUCCGGGCAGAGGAGCGCUGGGGUGAACCGGAGAGCGACACGCGGUCAAAGGAGAGAGUCAGGAAGGUACAGGUUCUGCACGGGGACAAGAGAGCCCGAUGGAAAGUGACAGGAGAACCGACCAUCCGGGAUCCCUUCCAACAACAGCAGGGAAGCCGCUGUGGUGAUCGUGGUUGGAAUAUUUGUCCACAACCCCCGGGGGGGGGGGACUGUUGUGACUGUGAACCUGCCGAGAAGAGGUCCUUGCUCUGCGUCCAGAGAGCCUCCCAGGUGCCUCGCUGUGGAUCUCCGGAAGCAUUUCCUGCCCGGGUGACAGCGAGAAGCUUUGGUGGUGCAAAGGCCCUGGGGUACUGAUGUGGGAAAUCUGUGAUACAGCCAGACUGCCCCGAGGAGGAGCCGCACGUUUGGGGUUCCAACCUGAGGCCACCUGAGUUGAGCUGCCGGAGAGCUUCCCUGAGGCCGUUCCAGGGCUCCACACCAAUCACAGCGAGGCCAAGGCCAUAAAGAGCAGAAGCAGGAUCGUGCCCGGAGAACCCGCGUGUGGCAAAAUGGAGGAAGGUGGUCCCAGCGGUUUCCCCUGCUGGUUCCUGCGCCCAGUCGGGAGUCAGGAGGAAGAAUCACAAGGGACGCUCGCUCGCUCAGCCUUUGCUCAGGGGUUCUGCCGGGUGAGACCCGCGGCAGACGUCCCCGUGGAUGUGGCUGCCCCGUGGGGCUUCAGGCGACCUUGCGGCCGUGCCUUCUUCUCCCGCGUUUCUUCGAGAACGCCCGCGUCCCGGGCGGCACCAAAUCCCACGCAGCGGGAACAACGUAAUAGUGGAGGAAAAAAAGCACGGGUGGAGGAGCCGGGGGUCGAACCCGGGGCCUCGUACAUGCGAAGCACGCGCUCUACCCACUGAGCUACACCCCCAGCCACAGGGGGCGGCAUCACCUGUAAAGUGAAAACCGCAUCCGCGGCUCACGUUGUAUUUCCGUCGGAGAAAGUAGACGCGCCCAGCUCGGCGAGUUCAGGCUGCACCUGCUGUAACGAGGUCUGCAGCCCAGUGGGGUCUCAGCCUCUCAAUGAGGGUCGGAGUUCCGGCCUCUGGAGGAGUUGUUUCCUGUUUCCUCUGCAUUAUUUCCAGCUUCUGUACGGAAAGGGCGCCGCCUAACGACCGCCAGCGUGUCGCUCCUCUUGUCACCGCCUGAGGGCUCAGCUGGCUUCUGAGAAGCAGGGCGCUGAGGGGGCGAGAGCACGAGACAGCCCAGACGUGUACAAUCCAGCGACUUCUACUCUGUCCUCAUCUAGGCACGCAACUUCCGAGGUUCCUUCGAGGAUCCAGACGAGUUGAACAAGAAUUUAAGGAUGAAAGGCAAGGGAGAAAUCUGGAACGAGGAACGAGGUCCAGUCACAGGGCUCGGGCUCUUCCUAGAGCAAAUACUUACACCUAGGGAGCCCUGCAGCUUGAAUUGUGCAGAUAGUGACAGAAAAUAGUAACUAUAGGAGGAGGGGUGACAGUUCUGUUCUUUUUGUCCUUGUUGUGACUGGUUUGUUGAUUUGCUUUUGCUUUGGGCGCGUAUGUGGAGCAGUAAGGGGGAAACGAAUAGUUUGAGUUUGGAUAGGCAUAUUUCAAGUAUCUACAGGAUAGCCCCUUGAGGCUGUCUCUUAAACACAUU